UAAAACACCUGGAGCGGAGGAGAGCACAGAGGAGCUGAAAUCCAAAGUGAUGUUCCGUUUUUCUUUAUUAAACUGCUAAAUGGAGGGAAAAGUACGAGCAGAGAGGAGGUGGAGAAAGAAAAGACAGCGCAGGAUGACAGAAAGAAACUGAGGCUCUGAUGAGGCUAAACACUGAUAACUUCACUUAUCUUCAUGUGUGAACGCUGAUUGCUUGUUAGCUUGGUGAAGCUGCUUCAGCUCCACCUCUUUUCUGAUUAGCUGGGAGUCAGGUGGAGUCAGGCUGUGAUCUUUUGUUCACUGAUGUAAGAAUAAAGUGAUUUUUUAUAACACAUGCCCUCAACAUGAAGUCAAACAAAGUCUAAGCACGUGCAGAAUAAUCUCCCCGAGCGUCGGCAGGAAACAGUUUGUCUUCAGUCUCACCUGAGCCGAGAACAAACAGAGUCGAUGUCAGAAACCGCAGCAGGAGAAGUUUCUCUGCACAGCAGCUGGAGUUCUCAGAAAUACAGCAGGUGCUCUGCUGUGACGAGUGGAAAAUCAUCGUCGCUGAUGAAGAACAGUGAGAGCAGAAACUACGAGCUGUACGACAGACAUUAAAACAUCAACAGUUCUGGACAAACAUGGCGUCCCUGCUGACGUCUCAGGAGGCUUCAGGACUUCUUCAGGUCCACGAGCUGCUUCAGCUCAACACAAUCAGAAGUUUGUUCCUCAAGUUUGAUUUCUAAUCAGCUCCAGUGAGUGAGACCUCCAAAGUUAUAAUUAAAUUAAUGUUUAUUUUGUGGGCGCAGAUUAUAUUUAUAACACCUUCUUUCAAUAUUUUUGAAAAUCAGUUAUCUGUUGUUCAAACCAAUGACGCCUGCGUGUCCUGCGGUUCUUACGGACACUUGAACUGAGCGCAGACUCUCGUGGACAGUCGUGAUGUUUAACAGUGUUUAGCUGAAUAACAACAUCAGUGUUUCUGCAGAACUCUGACAGUCGAUGUUCUGACGGGCUGAGCGGAGCGUGGAGAGCUGAGGGGGGAGACACCGUGACUCACCCGUUACUCACACAUCAUGAUUUCUGCUUUGUGACACAUUCAGACUUUCCAGAUUUAACAGCACGUUUCUUUCUUUGGCCACGUCUUGUUUUUCUCUUUUUGAUUGUUGUUUCGAGGGGAAAUUCCCCCUCAGAUGUCAGAAGUCCUCCAUCGCCUGUGUGAUCCUGCUGCAGAUGCACUUAAAGCUCCUCUCAGCAGUGUGGAAAGUAACUUUACUCAAGUUCUACGCUGAAGUGCAUUUUUGUGGUAUUUGUACUUUACUUAAAUUUUAAAAUGUUCUGCUUGUUUAUAGUUCUUGUUAAUUAUGUGCUUUUUGACCCACAACAAAUAUCUGAUAACUUCAGUUAUGUUUCAGAUUAAUCUACAAAAUAAAACCAACAAAUAACAAUCAUAAUAUUUUUCAGAGGUUAAGAUAGAAUAAAGGUGAAACUACGCAGCAGUAUAUAAAACUGACUCCACCUUCACCAGCUGCAGCGUUUAAGUGAU
Acanthopagrus latus (yellowfin seabream) is the source of this 1519-nucleotide long non-coding RNA. RefSeq lists it as uncharacterized. The transcript has 3 exons. NCBI's taxonomy places the organism in Eukaryota, Metazoa, Chordata, Actinopteri, Spariformes, Sparidae. The record is from RefSeq and is a predicted model, not a curated record.